Molecule: long non-coding RNA, 424 nt
Organism: Lolium perenne
Lineage: Eukaryota; Viridiplantae; Streptophyta; Magnoliopsida; Poales; Poaceae
Source: RefSeq, a predicted model, not a curated record
UUGGGCGGGCCAUGCAGAAAAUUCAAGGCGUAGAGAUGCAAGUACGCUAGUUGAGCGCCGCACACAUUCGGAUGCCAUGCUUUUGUGUCCACAGUCGGAUAGCUGCCGACCUCGAUAUUCAGUAUGCAAUAUGUUCUUGUGGCUUCGAUAUUUUGGUGGUGCCAAGCGACAGCAGGGGAUGAAGCCUUGCAUCCGCGCCCUCAGCCGCUCUCGCCAACGCCCUCGCUGAACAACGAUCUGUCGGCGGCCAUGGAUGGCGGCAGGGCCUCUGUAGCCGAAGGGUGAUUUAGUAUUAGCUCACGUCCAUGGCUGUAGGUAGCCCGAUGAUAUUAUUCAUCAGUAGUAAGAAAUUCUGAAUUUGAUCCAGAGACAUUUCAUGGUGCCUCACGUUUGUGUCUUGAUCAGUAUUCAGUAGUUAUAUCAA